Non-coding RNA from Theobroma cacao (cacao), 563 nucleotides. Lineage: Eukaryota; Viridiplantae; Streptophyta; Magnoliopsida; Malvales; Malvaceae. The record is from RefSeq and is a predicted model, not a curated record.
UGCAGUUGUCUCAUUUGAAUCUAGGCUACAAUCAACUCUUUUCAAAAGCUUAAAUCUGGCCAGAAGAUUAAUUCCUAACUUCUGGUUAGCUGCCAUUACUCUUGCCGUUUAAGUUCAUUGUGCUGCAAGGGCAGCUAUAAAAGAAGCCGGGCGGCGGCUUCUUUCAUGGAGUGGCCUAGACUGAGAUGUGUCUAAUUCAACAUUCCAGUUGGAGGAACCAGCUACCAUGCCUGUUGUGAAGGAUCUAUGUGCGCUUGCUUGAUAGCAUUCAGAGGUUCUUGCAGUGGACCAUGAGCACAAAUUGAGGCAAUUCUACUGGCUGGCUAGCUGGAUGAAUUUUAGUUUAUCUACAUGCAUGUAAACUACUCUGAAGUGAGCUAUCUCAGCAAAAGGGGAAAGAGAAAUGCAAUUUCCCAGUGCUCAAUCUGCUUCAAAGUGGUCCAUGUUAUUGAUAAAGCAUGGUUGUUACUUAAAUUACUUUACCUAAUAAAUGAACUAAUAAUGUACAUGUAAUUUGCUCCUGUUCGAAAAUAAAAGACAGCAGAACUUAAAGCAGGAGGCUA